GCUGUUGCCGUUUUACCACUGCGAGCCAAACCAACGUCGCAUAUGCAAAUGACUUGUAAGUGGGCCGAGCAAGUAAGAGAGGGAGAGAGCAAAAGCGAGAUAGAGAACGAAACAGUAGCCACAGCAGCUGUUGUAGCUAUGAGUUUACAGCAAAGAGCAGCCGCGACAUCCAGCUUGAGCAUAAGAAAGAAAGAAAGUAACAUCACUUUGGACAGGCAGCGCAAAGUGCGUCCGAAAACGUUAAUUAAGAUGCAAAGCCCACGCGGCGUAUGAGUGAUGCUGCUGUGUGGGCAAACGUUGCAGUUGCAGAAGGGCAACAGAAAAAAUCCGUAUAAAUUACAAAGGAAAGCUAA
This is a long non-coding RNA of Drosophila navojoa, 353 nucleotides long. NCBI's taxonomy places the organism in Eukaryota, Metazoa, Arthropoda, Insecta, Diptera, Drosophilidae. The record is from RefSeq and is a predicted model, not a curated record.